GAUGAACGCUGGCUACAGGCUUAACACAUGCAAGUCGAGGGGAAACGACGGGGAAGCUUGCUUCCCCGGGCGUCGACCGGCGCACGGGUGAGUAACGCGUAUCCAACCUGCCUCUGACUGAGGGAUAACCCGUCGAAAGUCGGCCUAAUACCCCAUGGCAUCGCCUGCGGGCAUACAACGACGUCUAAAGAUUUCAUCGGUCAGAGAUGGGGAUGCGUCUGAUUAGCUUGUUGGCGGGGUAACGGCCCACCAAGGCGACGAUCAGUAGCGGUUCUGAGAGGAAGGUCCCCCACAAUGGAACUGAGACACGGUCCAAAAUCCUACGGGAGGCAGCAGUGAGGAAUAUUAGUCAAUGGGCGAGAGCCUGAACCAGCCAAGUAGCGUGCAGGAUGACGGCCCUAUGGGUUGUAAACUGCUUUUAUGCGGGGGUAAAGUGAGGGACGUGUCCUUCAUUGCAGGUACCGCAUGAAUAAGGACCGGCUAAUUCCGUG
RNAcentral lists this ribosomal RNA (491 nucleotides) under uncultured bacterium. Its description in RNAcentral is "partial 16S ribosomal RNA". It matches the Rfam family "Bacterial small subunit ribosomal RNA", at positions 28 to 507 of the family's 1533-position model. The record is from RNAcentral.